ACAACGUCCAGGUUGGAGUGCAGUAACUGUGACUGGGCGGGCUGACGGAGAGUAAAUACACCAUUAGAUGGCGCUGUGUUACACAACGUCCAGGUUGGAGUGCAGUAACUGUGACUGGGCGGGCUGACGGAGAGUAAAUACACCAUUAGAUGGCGCUGUGUUAAACAACGUCCAGGUUGGAGUGCAGUAACUGUGACUGGGCGGGCUGACGGAGAGUAAAUACACCAUUAGAUGGCGCUGUGUUACACAACGUCCAGGUUGGAGUGCAGUAACUGUGACUGGGCGGGCUGACGGAGAGUAAAUACACCAUUAGAUGGCGCUGUGUUCCACAACGUCCAGGUUGGAGUGCAGUAACUGUGACUGGGCGGGCUGACGGAGAGUAAAUACACCAUUAGAUGGCGCUGUGUUAAACAACGUCCAGGUUGGAGUGCAGUAACUGUGACUGGGCGGGCUGACGGAGAGUAAAUACACCAUUAGAUGGCGCUGUGUUCCACAACGUCCAGGUUGGAGUGCAGUAACUGUGACUGGGCGGGCUGACGGAGAGUAAAUACACCAUUAGAUGGCGCUGUGUUCCACAACGUCCAGGUUGGAGUGCAGUAACUGUGACUGGGCGGGCUGACGGAGAGUAAAUACACCAUUAGAUGGCGCUGUGUUAAACAACGUCCAGGUUGGAGUGCAGUAACUGUGACUGGGCGGGCUGACGGAGAGUAAAUACACCAUUAGAUGGCGCUGUGUUACACAACGUCCAGGUUGGAGUGCAGUAACUGUGACUGGGCGGGCUGACGGAGAGUAAAUACACCAUUAGAUGGCGCUGUGUUCCACAACGUCCAGGUUGGAGUGCAGUAACUGUGACUGGGCGGGCUGACGGAGAGUAAAUACACCAUUAGAUGGCGCUGUGUUAAACAACGUCCAGGUUGGAGUGCAGUAACUGUGACUGGGCGGGCUGACGGAGAGUAAAUACACCAUUAGAUGGCGCUGUGUUCCACAACGUCCAGGUUGGAGUGCAGUAACUGUGACUGGGCGGGCUGACGGAGAGUAAAUACACCAUUAGAUGGCGCUGUGUUACACAACGUCCAGGUUGGAGUGCAGUAACUGUGACUGGGCGGGCUGACGGAGAGUAUAUCAGUCUAUAAGAAGGUCCAUAAUCAGCGGGCAGGAGAUAAGGUCUCAAACCUCUCUACAAGCCACUUAAUCUUUACCACAAGUAAACGGUGGAGAUGGAACUGGCUGGCCAAUCCUGGUUAAAUUAAAGCUGAAGUCAGAAACAUAAGAGGGAGCUUCUGUCAUAGUUAAAUGGUCUCCCAUCCGCAAACUGAUCCCGCUUCAUGUUUAUGCCCAUUUGCUCUAUAAACAUGAUGCAUUCUGGUCAAGGGAUAUACUUCUCAAUAAUGCAUAAAAAUAUACAAUCUACAAUUUUACCACAUGACCGGAGACUUCAUAUUUUGCAUAUCUCUCUUUACUGAAAACUCCAGCAGCACAGAUCAUAAACAGAACGACCAAUCAAAACACAGCUAGAUAUUUCAUAAAAGGCCCUGCCAGUCUAAGCUCCUCCUCUUUCGUUGCUGCUCCUG
RNAcentral lists this long non-coding RNA (1571 nucleotides) under Pelobates cultripes (western spadefoot toad). The record is from RNAcentral. Lineage: Eukaryota; Metazoa; Chordata; Amphibia; Anura; Pelobatidae.